Molecule: unclassified non-coding RNA, 1319 nt
Filed under: Hevea brasiliensis (rubber tree)
Lineage: Eukaryota; Viridiplantae; Streptophyta; Magnoliopsida; Malpighiales; Euphorbiaceae
Source: RNAcentral
AAUGACAGGAAAUAUAAAGAAUAGCAAUUCUAGUGACCCUAACUACAAAAAGAGAAGGUUCGAGAGGAGCAAAAUUGCUAUCAGAAGCUAAGCUGAUAUUAGACCGACAUACCCAGCAACUAAUGCCAACAGGCAUGACACAACAUACGCACCAGCAACAAUAGUCGGUUCUUCGAAUCCACAUAAUUCAAGGUGAUGAUGAAAAGGUGCCAUCCGAAACAGGUGGUGCCCAGCUCCACUCAACCACCUAGUUGCCUUGAAGUAUGCUGCCUGCAUAAUAACUGAUGAUGUUUCCAAAAAAAAGAAUCCAGAUGAAAUAAAUAAUGGAAAGAACAUUCCAGUGCAAGCAGCCAUUGCAGCUAAUCCUCCACCUAAUGCCAAGGAUCCUAUAUCUCCCAUAAAUAUAGAUGCCCUGUAUCGGUUGUGCAACAGAAAACCAACACAGGCUCCUGCCAUUGAUGCUCCAAAAAUAGCAAGUUCUGAACAUAUUGGUAGUACUGCAAUCGACAUUGCUACAAAAGCCAGUGCAGCAGUCCCACCAGCUAGCCCAUCAAGCCCAUCUGUUAAGUCAACUCCACUUCCCAUGGAAACAAAACAAAAUGAAGUCAACAAUAAGUAACAUUUUCCAAGGCACACAAGGCCCAAUGGUGCAGGUAGAGGAAUCAACAUUUUCAUGCUGUAGGGUGAUGAUAUACUUGUAGUGUCCAACCAAAAGGCAAACAAGGUCCCAGCAGCCAUCUCCAAGAACAAUUUUAUCUGUGAAGAUAGACCAUUGUUAUGAUUCUUAAUGAGGCUUAAGAUGUCAUCUAGUAGACCAAUUGAAGCAAAUGCUAGUGUUGCUACUGCUGCUCCAGAAACUUCAACAGAAGAAAAACCAGCUAUGAGUUUUGCAACACCGAUGCCAAUUGGAAUAAAAAAUAAACCACCCAUUGUGGGGGUUCCCCUUUUCUUGUGGUGCCUAACCGGUGCUUCGUUCCUUACAUUUUGAUGAACCUUCAAAGCAUUGAGAAACGGAACAAAAAGAUAACCCACAGUAGAAACUAAAGCUGUUGAUAUAAAAAAGGGUCGGGACAAAUAAAAUGGAGCAAGGGGUUGUCUGACAAUUUUCCAUGCACACCAAUCCACAAAUAAAAGCAGCGCCAAAAGGAAGACAAUCAAUCCCAAAUUAUUUAGAAUCCCAAGUCUGAUCCUAUGUUUUCUGCGCCCCUUUGCAAUCAUUGCGAAUCUGGUAGCCGUAACUGUGAGAGCAUCAUUUGUUGAUACAUUACCAGAAGGCAAAUCAAUAUCAGAGACUGGAUUUAAGAUAAAGUCGCCAUCAC